UACAGAGGUGGCGAGCGUUAUUCGGAAUUAUUGGGCGUAAAGGGCGCGUAGGCGGCUUGACAAGUCCCGGGUGAAAUCCCUCGGCUCAACCGAGGAACUGCCUUGGAAACUGUCUGGCUUGAGGCCGGGAGAGGGUAGUGGAAUUCCCAGUGUAGCGGUGAAAUGCGCAGAUAUCAGGAAGAACACCCGUGGCGAAGGCGGCUCUCUGGGACGGUACUGACGCUAGACGCGAAAGCGUGGGGAGCGAACAGGG
RNAcentral lists this ribosomal RNA (253 nucleotides) under uncultured bacterium. RNAcentral describes it as "partial 16S ribosomal RNA". It matches the Rfam family "Bacterial small subunit ribosomal RNA", at positions 524 to 777 of the family's 1533-position model. The record is from RNAcentral.